ACCUCGGAUCAGGUAGGGAUACCCGCUGAACUUAAGCAUAUCAAUAAGCGGAGGAAAAGAAACCAACAGGGAUUGCCCCAGUAACGGCGAGUGAAGCGGCAAGAGCUCAAAUUUGAAAUCUGGCCCCCCCCGGGGUCCGAGUUGUAAUUUGCAGAGGAUGCUUCGGGUGCGGCCCCGGUCUAAGUCCCCUGGAACGGGGCGUCAUAGAGGGUGAGAAUCCCGUCUGGGAUCGUCGGCCGUGCCCGUGUGAAGCUCCUUCGACGAGUCGAGUUGUUUGGGAAUGCAGCUCUAAAUGGGUGGUAAAUUUCAUCUAAAGCUAAAUACUGGCCGGAGACCGAUAGCGCACAAGUAGAGUGAUCGAAAGAUGAAAAGCACUUUGAAAAGAGAGUUAAACAGCACGUGAAAUUGUUGAAAGGGAAGCGCUUGCGACCAGACUCGCCCGCGGGGUUCAGCCGGGAUUCGUCCCGGUGUACUUCCCCGCGGUCGGGCCAGCGUCGGUUUGGGCGGCCGGUCAAAGGCCCCGGGAAUGUAUCGCCNUCCGGGGCGUCUUAUAGCCCGGGGNGCAAUGCGGCCUGCCCGGACCG
Molecule: ribosomal RNA, 584 nt
Filed under: Trichocomaceae sp. O_3_BESC_246n
Lineage: Eukaryota; Fungi; Ascomycota; Eurotiomycetes; Eurotiales; Trichocomaceae
Description: eukaryotic LSU rRNA
Rfam family: Eukaryotic large subunit ribosomal RNA
Source: RNAcentral